GACGAACGCUGGCGGCGUGCUUAACACAUGCAAGUCGAACGGAAAGGCCCCUUUGGGGGUACUCGAGUGGCGAACGGGUGAGUAACACGUGAGUAACCUGCCCUUGACUUCGGGAUAACUUCAGGAAACUGGGGCUAAUACCGGAUAGGAAUCCUUGCUGCAUGGUGGGGGUUGGAAAGCUUCGGCGGUUUUGGAUGGGCUCGCGGCGUAUCAGCUUGUUGGUGGGGUAGUGGCUUACCAAGGCGUUGACGGGUAGCCGGCCUGAGAGGGCGACCGGCCACAUUGGGACUGAGAGACGGCCCAGACGCCUACGGGAGGCAGCAGUGGGGAAUAUUGCACAAUGGGCGGAAGCCGGAUGCAGCAACGCCGCGGGCGGGAUGACGGCCUUCGGGUUGUAAACCGCUUUCAGCAGGGGCGAAGCUUGUGGUGACGGUACCUGCAGAAGAAGCACCGGCUAACUACGUG
Molecule: ribosomal RNA, 465 nt
Filed under: uncultured bacterium
Lineage: Bacteria
Description: partial 16S ribosomal RNA
Rfam family: Bacterial small subunit ribosomal RNA
Source: RNAcentral